AUGGACACGGUUUAAAACGUCUCAAGUCCCGAUCGACUCCAGUAGUCCCGAUAUCAGGCAGCAAACGGGAGAACUCUCCCUGCCAUAAUCUUCCAGCACUGACAAUGCCUCGGAAGCACCAGAUGACAGCAGACUCCAUCCGAAAACUUCCAGCCUCCGACCAGCCCCUCCGAUACAACCUCCCGAGCGCCAUCGACCUCGUCCCGGCCGCCGAAACAAGCAAAGCCGAGGUCUCGGGGCUGAUGCACCAUCAAUAACUCACACUGAGACGUAAGGCGAGAUAUCGGCUUUUAUUGACUGAAGAAGGAACCAGCAGUGAGUGACCAUCAUAUUACAUCCUGGAGAAUGAGGCAGAAGAUUAGACCUGAAUCGCCUUUCUACAGGGCCUGUGGGAGGAGCCACAGGAGCAGUCAGAAGGGGGUGUGUCCAGACAGGCACAUAGUUCACCACAGGGGCCUUCUCCUCCGGAGAUUCCGGACCCCGCAGCAGCAGCGAAGCGGGCAUUUCAGAAGUUUCUCCAAAUGUUCCUCCACGCUCUCACAUCUGCCUCCAUCAAAUCAGAAUUGUGCACGGUUCCCCUAUUUAACACGGAACAGAUGUCCAUCUCCAGAGAGAUGCAUCGCGUCCCCAUUUUCUCCUCCUCCUUUGAUGCUUUCCUGGUGGGGGAUGGAGGUGGACAGGGACUGGACUAACAAGGUGAAAAUAAGAUGCUCAGGGAAUUGAAAUCUCUCUCUCUCAAGAUUGGGUGCAACUCAUGUGAUUAUCUUGUUAAUAAUGAAUACAAGAUGCUAUUUACAUUUAAUAUCACUGCAGCUAAACACUUCAUUGCACCAAUACAACGGGAUUAGAAACAGGCUGGACAGGAAGUUUCACGAGUGAAAGCGAAAGCAAGUUGCAAACGUAGUGCACAAAGGAUAGAAACCAGUAACUUUCAGAAGAAAGGUACAUUCUAAUCUGAAGUGUUGUGAAAAUCAGAGGACGUUCGCAGUGAAAAUGCCGAAUCUAAAUGUUCAUUCGAUUGUUACCGCUGGUGCAACCAUUAUUAUCGUUGCUGGUGCUACUGCCGUAGUGAAACCUGCUGUCGCUGUUGCUGCAGUUGCUGCCACUAUUUACGUUGGUCGCAAAGUUGGACAAAUGAUUUCAAAAAUAUGGCGCUGAAUGCAGUUACUGAUGAGUAACAGGGUGCUGGGCUGGUGCAAACAUGAACCAACACUCUAAAUAAAGAAUUUAAUUAAC
Molecule: long non-coding RNA, 1236 nt
Organism: Hypanus sabinus (Atlantic stingray)
Lineage: Eukaryota; Metazoa; Chordata; Chondrichthyes; Myliobatiformes; Dasyatidae
Exons: 2
Source: RefSeq, a predicted model, not a curated record